GCUCGGUCAACCUGCUUCAUGUCUGAAAGUCCCUGUUCAUUUUGUGGCUCUGGCUUAGACAGGGACUCGGUUCUCCUUGGCCCACUUUUUCAUGAUGCGGAUGAUGUAUUCUACUUGAGAAUUACCAGUGCUUCUCAGGAGAUGCAGUACUUCCCGCAGAGUCUCUUUUGCUUCUCGGCCAGCUAAGAUCAUUUGAAAGACAC
This 203-nucleotide long non-coding RNA is filed under the name Gallus gallus (chicken). Lineage: Eukaryota; Metazoa; Chordata; Aves; Galliformes; Phasianidae. The record is from RNAcentral.